Molecule: transfer RNA, 77 nt
Filed under: Bradyrhizobium sp.
Lineage: Bacteria; Pseudomonadati; Pseudomonadota; Alphaproteobacteria; Hyphomicrobiales; Nitrobacteraceae
Also listed under: 11 other names
Description: tRNA-Gln
Rfam family: tRNA
About the family: Transfer RNA (tRNA) molecules are approximately 80 nucleotides in length.
Source: RNAcentral
AGGGGAAUCGCCAAGCCGGUUAAGGCACUGGAUUUUGAUUCCAGCAUUCGAAGGUUCGAAUCCUUCUUCCCCUGCCA